RNAcentral lists this ribosomal RNA (709 nucleotides) under uncultured bacterium. RNAcentral describes it as "bacterial SSU rRNA". It matches the Rfam family "Bacterial small subunit ribosomal RNA", at positions 56 to 743 of the family's 1533-position model. The record is from RNAcentral.
UGCAAGUCGAGCGAGAUUUUUUCUUGUAGCAAUACAGGGAAAAGUCUAGCGGCGAACGGGUGCUUAACACGUGGGCAACCUGCCGUGAAGUGGGGGAUAGCUCGCCGAAAGGCGAAUUAAUACCGCAUGUGAUUAGAGAGGACAUCCUUUCGAAAUUAAAGUCGGGGCAACCUGACGCUUCUUGUGGGGCCCGCGGCCUAUCAGCUAGUUGGUGAGGUAACGGCUCACCAAGGCUUUGACGGGUAGCUGGUCUGAGAGGACGACCAGCCACACUGGGACUGAGACACGGCCCAGACACCUACGGGUGGCAGCAGUCGAGAAUUUUUGACAAUGGGGGAAACCCUGAUCGAGCGACGCCGCGUGGAGGAUGAAGGUCUUCGGAUUGUAAACUCCUGUCAUUGGGGAACAAGGUGCAUACGUUAACUGCGUGUGUAUUGAUAGUACCCGAAGAGGAAGGGACGGCUAACUCUGUGCCAGCAGCCGCGGUAAUACAGAGGUCCCAAGCGUUGUUCGGAUUCAUUGGGCGUAAAGGGUGCGUAGGCGGCGCGGUAAGUCGGGUGUGAAAUCUCGGAGCUUAACUCCGAAACUGCAUUCGAUACUGCCGUGCUUGAGGACUGGAGAGGAGACUGGAAUUUACGGUGUAGCGGUGAAAUGCGUAGAUAUCGUAAGGAAGACCAGUGGCGAAGGCGGGUCUCUGGACAGUUCCUGA